This 177-nucleotide ribosomal RNA is filed under the name uncultured bacterium. Its description in RNAcentral is "partial 16S ribosomal RNA". It matches the Rfam family "Bacterial small subunit ribosomal RNA", at positions 338 to 512 of the family's 1533-position model. The record is from RNAcentral.
CCUACGGGAGGCAGCAGUGAGGAAUAUUGGACAAUGGAUGGAAAUCUGAUCCAGCCAUGCCGCGUGCAGGAAGACUGCCCUAUGGGUUGUAAACUGCUUUUGUAUGGGAGCAAUAAGGUCUAUGCGUAGACUGAUGAGAGUACCAUACGAAUAAGCACCGGCUAACUACGUGCCAGC